UACGGAGGGGCGAGCGUUAUUCGGAAUUAUUGGGCGUAAAGGGCGCGUAGGCGGCUGUACAAGUCAAAGGUGAAAUCCCUCGGCUCAACUGAGGAACUGCCUUUGAAACUGUACGCUUGAGGCCGGGAGGGGUAGCGGAAUUCCCAGUGUAGCGGUGAAAUGCGCAGAUAUCAGGAGGAACACCGAUGGCGAAGGCAGGUCUCUGGGCCACUACUGACGCUGAGAAGCGAAAGCAUGGGGAGCGAACGGG
This 250-nucleotide ribosomal RNA is filed under the name uncultured bacterium. RNAcentral's name for it is "partial 16S ribosomal RNA". It matches the Rfam family "Bacterial small subunit ribosomal RNA", at positions 524 to 776 of the family's 1533-position model. The record is from RNAcentral.